CUCCUACGGGAGGCAGCAGUGAGGAAUAUUGGUCAAUGGGCGAGAGCCUGAACCAGCCAAGUAGCGUGCAGGAAGACGGCCCUAUGGGUUGUAAACUGCUUUUAUAAGGGAAUAAAGUGAGCCUCGUGAGGCUUUUUGCAUGUACCUUAUGAAUAAGGACCGGCUAAUUCCGUGCCAGCAGCCGCGGUAAUACGGAAGGUCCGGGCGUUAUCCGGAUUUAUUGGGUUUAAAGGGAGCGUAGGCCGGAGAUUAAGCGUGUUGUGAAAUGUAGAUGCUCAACAUCUGAACUGCAGCGCGAACUGGUUUCCUUGAGUACGCACAAAGUGGGCGGAAUUCGUGGUGUAGCGGUGAAAUGCUUAGAUAUCACGAAGAACUCCGAUUGCGAAGGCAGCUCACUGGAGCGCAACUGACGCUGAAGCUCGAAAGUGCGGGUAUCGAACAGGAUUAGAUACCCUGGUAGUCCGCACGGUAAACGAUGGAUGCCCGCUGUUGGUCUGAAUAGGUCAGCGGCCAAGCGAAAGCAUUAAGCAUCCCACCUGGGGAGUACGCCGGCAACGGUGAAACUCAAAGGAAUUGACGGGGGCCCGCACAAGCGGAGGAACAUGUGGUUUAAUUCGAUGAUACGCGAGGAACCUUACCCGGGCUUGAAUUGCAGAGGAAGGAUUUGGAGACAAUGACGCCCUUCGGGGCCUCUGUGAAGGUGCUGCAUGGUUGUCGUCAGCUCGUGCCGUGAGGUGUCGGCUUAAGUGCCAUAACGAGCGCAACCCCUCUCCUUAGUUGCCAUCAGGUCAUGCUGGGCACUCUGGGGACACUGCCACCGUAAGGUGUGAGGAAGGUGGGGAUGACGUCAAAUCAGCACGGCCCUUACGUCCGGGGCUACACACGUGUUACAAUGGCAGGUACAGAGAGACGGUCCCUUGCAAAAUGGAUCAAAUCCUUAAAGCCUGUCUCAGUUCGGACUGGGGUCUGCAACCCGACCCCACGAAGCUGGAUUCGCUAGUAAUCGCGCAUCAGCCAUGGCGCGGUGAAUACGUUCCCGGGCCUUGUACACACCGC
RNAcentral lists this ribosomal RNA (1056 nucleotides) under uncultured bacterium. Its description in RNAcentral is "bacterial SSU rRNA". It matches the Rfam family "Bacterial small subunit ribosomal RNA", at positions 336 to 1393 of the family's 1533-position model. The record is from RNAcentral.